This 1092-nucleotide long non-coding RNA is filed under the name Marmota monax (woodchuck). Lineage: Eukaryota; Metazoa; Chordata; Mammalia; Rodentia; Sciuridae. The record is from RNAcentral.
GCCCUCUGUGCCCCCACCUCGGUCUGCAGGUCUGCGGACCAAGAGUCGCGGCGGCACAGCCGGCGGCGAGAAUCCGGAGCAGCAGGAGGAGACGGCAAGGAUAGGCCCAGGUCUGUGCGAGGGGCAGUGCUGGGAGGCGGGGAGGGGGCGGCGGGAGGAGGAAGGUGUGCAAAGUCAAAUUUUAGACCCCAACUCCCAAUUUCCCCAUCCCUGCUCCUCCAUUUUACUGCCUGCAGAAAUCUGGGGAUGGAUCGAUAGGGAAAAUGGUGGUUUGGGGGGGCAGGGGGGCCAAUAGGGAGAGGGGAGGGCUUACAUUGGAGGCCCCCUAGAGGACAGACAAAGCCUUUCAGAUGGGAAAAGAAAUUAAAAAAUACGUCGAUAUCCAGGACACUGAAUAGCGAAAGAUGAGCAGUUGGGGACUCUGUCCUCGGUGCUGAAAUGUUCAUGAAUUUUCUUGCCUUUUAUCUUCUAGGAGUAAUGGAAUCCAAAGAGGAACAAGUGGGAAAAAAUACCAACAUGGAAAAUGCCCCAAAGAAAAAGGAACAGAAGGAGCAAGAUGAUAAUAAAGGGGAGCCCUUGGCCCUCCCUUUGGAAGCUGGUGAAUACUUUGUGCCUAGAGGAAAUCGUAGGCGGUUCCGUGUUAGGCAGCCCAUCCUGCACUAUAGGUGGGACCUGAUGCACAGGCUUGGAGAGCCCCAGGCAAGGAUGAGAGAAGAGAAUAUGGAAAGGUUUGGGGAGGAGGUGAGACAGCUCAUGGAAAAGCUGAGGGAAAGGCAGUUGAGUCAUAGCCUGCGUGCAGUUAGCACUGACCCCCCUCACCAUGACCAUCAUGAUGAGUUUUGCCUUAUGCCCUGAAUCCUGAUGUUUUCCCUGAAGUUAAUAGGGAGACCCUUGCUUCCUAAACUAACAUGUUGUGUUGUACCGCUGUAAGCCUUCUGAUGUCAUUAAUUCUCUUGGGUCUCCAGUUACCAGCUUCUAAUUGAAUGUGUUUUUGACGCAGUCUGUAAGAUUUUUGUCAGCAGAAUUUACCUAUUGCAUGGAAAGAUGCUCAUUAUAUAUUGUGAAGUUAAUAAAGCAGUUUAAAAGCAAACA